Molecule: long non-coding RNA, 1213 nt
Filed under: Monodelphis domestica (gray short-tailed opossum)
Lineage: Eukaryota; Metazoa; Chordata; Mammalia; Didelphimorphia; Didelphidae
Description: lncRNA (ENSMODG00000040699.1)
Source: RNAcentral
AUGGAGAGAGGAGAGGCUGGAUUCAGUGAGAUCAAUGAAGAGGCUAUCACAGUAAUCCAAAGGAGAGAUCAUGGAAUCCCAAACAAAAUGAAUUACUAUAUGGGGGAUUCACAUUUCCCUGAACAAAGAAAAGUUUUGAGGGGUCUGAUGUAUUUGGUUUAUUCUGAAGCUGAUUCUGGAGUCAGGGCCCCUUCACCCCGGGGGCCUCCUCCAUUGGUGCACUGACAAACUUUGCCUUCUGGAUGAGAAGCCUCUGUUGCCCGCGGGAAUUCUACAGAGAUCCUGUGAGGCCAGGAUGACUUUACUAGCUGGGACCACGUGACUGCAGAGACUUCCGUUGGCUUUUCUGCUUCCUCUGGGCGGAAAGUCCAUCCUGCGUGAGAAAUACACGCUAUUUCCAUGACUUUGAGUCCAAUGAGAUGCCUUGGGAUGAGCCAGGGAAGGAGGCCCCUGCGGUACCUCCUCCUGCCUUGGCGAUGCUUGUUUUUGGAGACACCCUUUCAGGCCCGCAAGAUCUGACUUCAAUGGGGAGGAUCCCCUGCGGCAGAAAGGAGUUCAUUUUAGAGAUGAAGAAAAUGAGGAAAACAGGGUGAAAUGACUUUCCCCAAGUUGCACAUCUAGUAAAUGCUUGCUACAUGCCAGACAAAAUGGUAAGCAUUUUUACAAAUAUUACCUCAUUUGAUCCUCACAAAAACCUGGAAUAGAGGUGCUUUAUUAUAUCUGUUUUACAAUUGAGGAAAGUAGCAUUAAGUGAUUUUCCCUGGGUUACACAACUAACAAGAGCAGAGGCACGAUAUAAACUUGAGACUUCCUGACUCCAAGUUCAAUGCUAUAUGCAUUAUGCCAUAUAGCUGCCUAGAAUUUUAUGUAGUAAUAGAUAUUAUGUCCAUUUUAAAGAUGAUAAUUUAAAUGAUUCUGAGUGUUCUGGGAUCAUACAGUAGAAUCUGAAUUCAUCUCUCUAUUUUACUCAUGAUUUCAAAAUUCCUCUAUCCAAUGAGUCAUACAGAGGCAUAUCAAAUUGGAAAUAAGUGUGGUGUUCAGCUGUGUCAGCUCUACUAAUCCCUUCCUUCCACUUUUGUCUACUCCUCUUCAGGUAGGUGAGAGAAGAUCUUGGAUAGUAAUUAUGUGCAAUAUUUAUUCUGAUAAUCAUCCUACUAAGGGUAACUCCAAGAGUUAGGAAAAAUAAAAGAAAGAGAAAAUAGAAAGAAAGUCA